Molecule: ribosomal RNA, 396 nt
Filed under: uncultured bacterium
Lineage: Bacteria
Description: partial 16S ribosomal RNA
Rfam family: Bacterial small subunit ribosomal RNA
Source: RNAcentral
AUACGUAGGGAGCGAGCGUUGUCCGGAAUUACUGGGUGUAAAGGGAGCGUAGGCGGGAGUGCAAGUCAGAUGUGAAACACAUGGGCUCAACCCAUGGGCUGCAUUUGAAACUGCAUUUCUUGAGUGAAGGAGAGGUAAGCGGAAUUCCUGGUGUAGCGGUGAAAUGCGUAGAUAUCAGGAGUAACACCGGUGGCGAAGGCGGCUUACUGGGCUUUUACUGACGCUGAGGCUCGAAAGCGUGGGGAGCAAACAGGAUUAGAUACCCUGGUAGUCCACGCUGUAAACGAUGAUUACUAGGUGUGGGGGGACUGACCCCUUCCGUGCCGCAGUUAACACAAUAAGUAAUCCACCUGGGGAGUACGGCCGCAAGGUUGAAACUCAAAUGAAUUGACGGGG